AGGAUUUGUAGUACACAGAGUGACUAUGACAAACAAGCCGACUGUCUGGAUGAGUGUUUCAGAAAGUGGGGUUACCCAGAGGAAUGGCUGCAUGACGCAAGGGAUCGUUAUAAAAAUACAGUGGUGGAAAAAAGUAACCAAAUCGUGACUACAACUAAGUUACUAAGUCUUUAACCACACUAUGUUACACUGUCAGCAGAUGGACUAGAUGCUGCUUAGGCCGCCGGUUGUGACUCCGUCAAGAAUUCAUCAGAGCAAGUUUGAAUGAAGGUCUGGUUAUUAAAUGGGUACAUAGUCCAAUAGUAAUAUCCUCUAAACCCCUCUGGUGAUGAACUUUGCUGCCCUGUUUCCAGUUAUCCACAUUUCUGGGAGAACCUCUUCAAGUAAGUAAGUAAAUAGAUUUUGAAAAUGUAAAAAAAAAAACGAUGUAUUAUUAGCUAACUAGCUACAGUGGAGGCUAACUCAAAUGAGCUGCUCAAUGAGCUAUCUAGUUGGCUAUCUAACUAACUUCAAAUACUGUAUAGAUAGAUAGCUAUGUUAAUUAAAUAUCACCUGUUACCUAACAUCAUAUUAGCUAUCUUGUUGUAUUUAUCACUGUAAAAAACAAACUCCAAAUGCAUUUGUAGGUAGCUAGCUAACAGCCAUGGAGGGUGAAAGGAUAGCAGCCCCAACUGUCAGUGAGAGAGGAGGCUAUUCUGGAUAGGACAGGUACUUUUGUGUUGUUCCUGUCCCUAGAAGUGAGGACGGAGAUAAUAGUAACAUAAUAUUCAGUGUGGUGUAAUUUGACUAUAAUGAAGUGUUUCUUGUGAGGUUUUCUGUCCUCAGAUAAAGAGCUCUAUGAAAGCCAGUCUACAUAUGAAGAGCAGUGGUUCUCAGUCCUGGGGACUCAAAAGAGGCACAUUGAGGGUUUUUGCCUCAGCACUGCACAGCUGAAUCAAAUGAUCAACUCAUCAUCAAGCUUCAAGUGAUACCUUGUCACUGGAGAUUUCUUCAAAACAAUUUCCUACAGUUAAUGUGUAGGGCACUGCAAGGUUGGGUCAUCUGGGACUGCCUCCUGAAGAAAUUCAGGUGUGUGUGAAGGCUACCUGUGUCCUGCGCCACUUCAUGAGGAUGGACACGAGGACCAGGAGGGGAUCUGCAGCUCGCCGUUGUGUCCCAGAGGAGAAGUCUGCUGCUCUGCAGGAUGUUUCAAGGAUGGGGUCCAACAACGCAGCAAGAGAGGCAUUCCAUGUGCAGGAGAUCUUCACCUCCUACUUCUUCAAAGAGGGUGCUGUUCCCUGGCAACACCUUAGACUACACUAUGCACAACCAAAGGCUCGUUUAAGAGCCAUUCACAUUGCAAUAAGAGUAUUCUUCCAGUUACUUAGCUAUGUCAACUGCAGUUAUUCAAUUCACAGUUUCUCUCCCUUUGAUUUCUACUUCUCAUGUGAGGGUGCUGUUUAGGUAAAGGUGUGAUGUCUGGGCAAAAAAACAAAACAUGUACAACAAUUAGACACCCUAUAACCCACACCUACACACUCAUGUAUCAAUCUGAUUGAUGGAUUGUGUUGUGCAGGUGUAUAACUGUGGCUUCUUCCACCUUCAAAGAAUAGGCAAGAGGGCCAACCGGGGAGAAUAGUAAGACACUUCAUUAUUUCUAUAACUACGCUAUAUUGUUUGUCAAUUCAUUGUCCGUUUUUCAGCAUAAAGUACUCUGCAGCCACUUAGUGUGGUGUGGACACCAGGUGAGGCCACACACAGAUUCCUGUUGAACACUGUCACUUUAACUACCUUAUUUUCUUAACAGCCUCUCUCCUUCACUUCAUCCCCUUCUCCCUAAAUCCUCUAGGUUUUAUCAGCUGUGUCGGUGAACCCCUCCUGGAUCUGAUCUGGAUACAUUGAUAAUCCUGGUAUUGGAUGUGACUGAAAAAUAAUCUCAAAGACAUUCAUACCUGAACAGCACCUUUAUUUACCAAGUAUUUCUGUCAGCCAUCUUUGCUGAAGAAAGUCCAACAGUCACUAGUGCAGCAGCAGCCCCCCGGUCCUAGUGCCGGCCCAGUAAUGGAACAGCGAUGGAACAGUUCACGAAAAAAAUAAAUCACAGAAAAAAUAUAUUGACUGAUAUUGAUUUAUUUAGGGGCGAUUUUUAAUAUUUUAG
Oncorhynchus keta (chum salmon) is the source of this 2137-nucleotide long non-coding RNA. RefSeq lists it as uncharacterized. The transcript is spliced from 5 exons. The record is from RefSeq and is a predicted model, not a curated record. NCBI's taxonomy places the organism in Eukaryota, Metazoa, Chordata, Actinopteri, Salmoniformes, Salmonidae.